Molecule: long non-coding RNA, 419 nt
Filed under: Rosa chinensis
Lineage: Eukaryota; Viridiplantae; Streptophyta; Magnoliopsida; Rosales; Rosaceae
Description: sRNA RchiOBHm_Chr6g0268631
Source: RNAcentral
UUACUCUCUCUCACAACAGCUACAGUAGCCGCACAACAGCAAACCACCAUCAGUACCCCAACCCCAUUACUCAAUCUCUUCCUCUCGGCAACACAACCAAGAACCUCCUCACCAAUUUCUUCUCCUCACCAAGAUCUAUCCUCUAUCACCAAGACCACCAUCUCUCUCUCACCUCUCAUUAUUCUUCACCAUUCCUCAAUCAAAUUUCAUCAUUUUGUCAAGGAUCCGGGUUUAGGUAUAAGAGAGAAUAUAAUUCCAAGCUAGUCAUGCUCACUCUUUAGUGUAGUUGUGAUUAGUGUUGGUCUCUCUCUUUUCUUUACUCUCUUCUUGCUUUAAUUUAUUGUAAUUGAUGAAUUUCUUUGUGGGGCUUGAUGCCCUAGCAAUUUUUACCAUGUAAUGACAUUAAUUUUUUGUGCUUA